CGUCAAUAUUUUCUCCACUUUUGAUCCUGCCCGUUCAUCGGCUGAGCAGCUCUAUAUGAGAAAGUGGACCUCGCCCCUUGCAGGAGUCAUUCGUCGCCUGUGCCAUUGCUGCCUUUGAUGCUCUUCUGAUUCCAUCCGAUCUCUCUCUCUCGAUCGAUCGAUCGAUGCCGAUUUCGCCAUCUGAAGCGCGUGGAUCGCUUCGCGAUCUUCUGUCCCACGGCGGUUUUGGCAGCUCGAAGCAGCUGGUGUUGAAGAUCGAGGCCAAUCAGCCUGGCUGAGUCGCUGUCUGGUUCAGGUAUGUGGGUGGUGGAAUAUGCGUUCGGAUGAGUUUAGCUCGAUCACGCGGAUUCGCUGGCGGUCUCGCUUCUCGAUGGCCGCUGUUGACGCCGGAACAAUCUCCUGCUAGAUGAAUUCAUGAUGUCAUGGUGGCCAUCACGACUGGAGUUUCUUGAGGCCGUGCCCAAUGAAAAGCAGUGUGUGGGGAGGUCAACCGGGGAUUUGCCGAGCAUCAAUAGGUUCAUCAGAGGCUGAAGUGAACUACUUGUCCUUGUCAUGACGCGUUGGAAUCGUUGGUGAGGUUGUGGCAAUGUUUUUUAAGACGAGGAUGUAUGAGAGAGGUCGGGGACGAGAGCUCCCCUGAUUUUACGGGGGGGACUGAGUCUCUGAUUGUUCUUUUGUCAUCCAGGCCUUUGCCAUGACGGGUGCGCUCGCAUGGCGGGUCAAAAAAGUCAAUAAAAGUUCCCUUUUGGGGGGUUUUGGAGGGGAGAUCGCACGGGGGUUGCCCGGGUUCUCCUCUAUCCUGUGCCGUUUUCCCUUCUUCUUUUUUCUGCGCUCUGCGUUCGCUGAGCCCAAUUUGCCCUUCUUCACUAUCCUUCGGCUAUGGUCACAAAAUUGCAUCAGAAGACUCCGAAACUUCAUCAGCAGGCAAGCGUUUAUCCUCAAUUCCACACCGCGGAAGCUGAUGCUCUAAUUCGAGGUACUAAGGCCAUCUUAAUUCAAAAUUUGAAUUGUUCAAUUAAAAUAGAGAAUUAGCGUAUGCGAGUUUCAGAAUUGGUAAUGCCUCUAUUCUUGUAAGACGAUGAUACAUACUAGCUAACAGUCUACUGGGUGUGGUUUACUGUCUUUGGAGGUACUAUGAGAAAUGUUCUAGGGUUUUCAAGAAGAGUUGUCACUAUUGGAAAUAGGCCAGACAACUAUAAGAGCUACCUCCAUGUUCUGAUUAACAAAAGGUCAAACUUAAUUGCUCACUAUGAUGCGCUUGCAUGUUCACCGUUGGUUUAGUGAGGUUCAUGAACCGCCCCUUUAUCUCUAGUUAGGUCAACUGCCUAUUUUACUUUUGCUUUAAUUAAACAAAUAGUCAAGUUUGUUCAAUAUGGCUCUUGGUCAUCAUACCAGAAUUGGCAUAAUUAUUCUGAUUUUACAAGAUAAAACAGCAACUAAUAUUUGUUGUAUCGCUCUUUGUUAUGUGGCUUAAAUCAUAGCUACAUCAAUAGUAUCAUGAAUUCACCGUUUUGAUUUAUAUAUACCACUAUUGAAUUCAUUAUUAUGUUGAUAACAUGGCGGCAAGCAAACAGGAUUGACAAUAUAUAUGUUAAUUACCGGUAAGUGCUAUUUGAUUUUUGCGCCUCGGUGCUUUGGUUUCUGUGUUGACCUUGCAUAUCCUCUGAGGGUACAUCAAAUUAAAAUAUCGUCCUACCUUUCUGAAACUAGUUUUUCCACUUGCGUGUCUUAUUAGUGUCAGCAAGUGCAUUGUUAAUUGGUGGGCGGUCAGUACCUUAGAUCGAGCAACACCAAUUUUUGUUUCAUGUUUUGAGUUAUUACUGGUGAAGUUCUGUACAUUGGGCCACUGCAUGAAGAGUUUGUUUGUUUAGCAGUCAUGUAAUCAUCUAUAGCAGAUGUACUGGUUCUCUUUGGGUUAUGAAGACCAUGGUGUUUGUAUUGUCUCGGUUUCCUUGGCAAGUUGCCAAUGCACCAGAGCUUUGAAACCAAAUUGGUUAGCGGGUAUUGGAUAUUAGCAAUCUCCUUGAAGUGGGGAAAUGGACAGCUUGAUUCUCCCUGUUGCUGAUUAGAAGAAUGAGGAAGCGGAAGUACCCCCUGCUGCUGGCUGGCUGUCUGGCUGUCAGUGCAAUCAACAUUAUGGUGGCAAGCCCUGAUGCUGAAUUAUACCUUGCCGCUGGAUGACUCUCACUAUGUUCAACUUUAUGCCGGAAGACUUAUUGUUUUUGAUGACUGAAAACGUUUUACUUUGAGUUGGAUGUUGGAAAUAGCCAUGGUACUUUUCUA
Molecule: long non-coding RNA, 2283 nt
Organism: Rhodamnia argentea
Lineage: Eukaryota; Viridiplantae; Streptophyta; Magnoliopsida; Myrtales; Myrtaceae
Exons: 2
Source: RefSeq, a predicted model, not a curated record